RNAcentral lists this ribosomal RNA (492 nucleotides) under uncultured bacterium. RNAcentral's name for it is "partial 16S ribosomal RNA". It matches the Rfam family "Bacterial small subunit ribosomal RNA", at positions 36 to 507 of the family's 1533-position model. The record is from RNAcentral.
AUUUCCCUCUUUCUUUAGGCCUAACACAUGCCAGUCGAACGGCAGCACAGUAAGAGCUUGCUCUUACGGGUGGCGAGUGGCGGACGGGUGAGGAAUACAUCGGAAUCUACUUUUUCGUGGGGGAUAACGUAGGGAAACUUACGCUAAUACCGCAUACGACCUACGGGUGAAAGCAGGGGAUCUUCGGACCUUGCGCGAUUGAAUGAGCCGAUGUCGGAUUAGCUAGUUGGCGGGGUAAAGGCCCACCAAGGCGACGAUCCGUAGCUGGUCUGAGAGGAUGAUCAGCCACACUGGAACUGAGACACGGUCCAGACUCCUACGGGAGGCAGCAGUGGGGAAUAUUGGACAAUGGGCGCAAGCCUGAUCCAGCCAUACCGCGUGGGUGAAGAAGGCCUUCGGGUUGUAAAGCCCUUUUGUUGGGAAAGAAAAGCAGCAGGUUAAUACCCCGCUGUUCUGACGGUACCCAAAGAAUAAGCACCGGCUAACUUCGUG